This 449-nucleotide ribosomal RNA is filed under the name uncultured bacterium. Its description in RNAcentral is "partial 16S ribosomal RNA". It matches the Rfam family "Bacterial small subunit ribosomal RNA", at positions 29 to 523 of the family's 1533-position model. The record is from RNAcentral.
AACGAACGCUGGCGGCAUGCCUAACACAUGCAAGUCGAACGAGAUCUUCGGGUCUAGUGGCGCACGGGUGCGUAACGCGUGGGAAUCUGCCCUUUGGUUCGGAAUAACAGUUGGAAACGACUGCUAAUACCGGAUGAUGACGAAAGUCCAAAGAUUUAUCGCCAGAGGAUGAGCCCGCGUAGGAUUAGCUAGUUGGUGUGGUUAAGGCGCACAAAGGCGACGAUCCUUAGCUGGUCUGAGAGGAUGAUCAGCCACACUGGGACUGAGACACGGCCCAGACUCCUGCGGGAGGCAGCAGUGGGGAAUAUUGGACAAUGGGCGAAAGCCUGAUCCAGCAAUGCCGCGUGAGUGAUGAAGGCCUUAGGGUUGUAAAGCUCUUUUACCCGGGAUGAUAAUGACAGUACCGGGAGAAUAAGCUCCGGCUAACUCCGUGCCAGCCGACGCCGUAA